UGGCACAGUGGUUAAGGUGCUUGGCUGCUAACCAAAAGGUCGGUGGUUCAAACCCACC
RNAcentral lists this transfer RNA (58 nucleotides) under Loxodonta africana (African savanna elephant). It matches the Rfam family "tRNA", at positions 8 to 63 of the family's 71-position model. Rfam says of the family: Transfer RNA (tRNA) molecules are approximately 80 nucleotides in length. The record is from Rfam by way of RNAcentral. Lineage: Eukaryota; Metazoa; Chordata; Mammalia; Proboscidea; Elephantidae.